RNAcentral lists this ribosomal RNA (449 nucleotides) under uncultured bacterium. RNAcentral describes it as "bacterial SSU rRNA". It matches the Rfam family "Bacterial small subunit ribosomal RNA", at positions 355 to 796 of the family's 1533-position model. The record is from RNAcentral.
UGGGGAAUAUUGGACAAUGGGGGAAACCCUGAUCCAGCGACGCCGCGUGUGUGAAGAAGGCCUGCGGGUUGUAAAGCACUUUUAGUGGGGAUGAAAAGUUCAGGGCUAAUACCUCUGGAUCUUGACCUAACCCACAGAAAAAGCACCGGCUAACUCUGUGCCAGCAGCCGCGGUAAUACAGAGGGUGCAAGCGUUAAUCGGAAUUACUGGGCGUAAAGCGUGCGUAGGCGGUUUCGUAAGUCGGGUGUGAAAGCCCCGGGCUCAACCUGGGAAUUGCAUUCGAGACUGCGAAGCUAGGGUGCGGAAGAGGGAAGCGGAAUUUCCGGUGUAGCGGUGAAAUGCGUAGAUAUCGGAAGGAACAUCAGUGGCGAAAGCGGCUUCCUGGUCCAGCGCCGACGCUCAGGCACGAAAGCGUGGGGAGCAAACAGGAUUAGAUACCCCCGUAGUCC